Molecule: ribosomal RNA, 254 nt
Filed under: uncultured bacterium
Lineage: Bacteria
Description: partial 16S ribosomal RNA
Rfam family: Bacterial small subunit ribosomal RNA
Source: RNAcentral
UACGUAGGGGGCAAGCGUUGUCCGGAAUCAUUGGGCGUAAAGCGCGUGUAGGCGGUUCGGUAAGUCUGCUGUGAAAGUCCGGGGCUCAACCCUGGGAUGCCGGUGGAUACUGUCGGACUAGAGUACGGAAGAGGCGAGUGGAAUUCCCGGUGUAGCGGUGAAAUGCGCAGAUAUCGGGAGGAACACCAGUGGCGAAGGCGACUACCUGGCCUGUUUCUUGACGCUGAGGCGCGAAAGCUAGGGGAGCAAACGGG